UUCCAGCUGCCUCUAUGUCACUCCAUGCAACUGCCUAUGUCUUAGGUCUCCCAACUGCAUCCAUGCUGCGACUCCACAAUCGCCUAUCUCCGAUCAUGUCUCUAUCACAUCCCACAACUGUCUAUGUUUCAGUUGCAUCUCAACCUUCAUUGCUACUCCUUUGGACCCUCUGCACUUCGUGGAUCUCUUCGAAGCCAUCUCGAACCCUUCACACCCUGUGGGCUCCUCUAAAAUUACCA
This 239-nucleotide long non-coding RNA is filed under the name Elaeis guineensis (African oil palm). Its description in RNAcentral is "long non-coding RNA (EGUI_LNC075764)". Lineage: Eukaryota; Viridiplantae; Streptophyta; Magnoliopsida; Arecales; Arecaceae. The record is from RNAcentral.